Molecule: long non-coding RNA, 2356 nt
Organism: Solanum dulcamara
Lineage: Eukaryota; Viridiplantae; Streptophyta; Magnoliopsida; Solanales; Solanaceae
Exons: 3
Source: RefSeq, a predicted model, not a curated record
CACAUACGAAGCAACCCAUCCUUCUUUCUCACAAAUAAUACGGGGGCACCCCAUGGCGAAUUACUUGGUCUUAUGAACCCCUUUUCUAGCAAGUCCUCUAAUUGUUCUUUCAAUUCUGCCGGGGCCAUCCGAUAUGAAGGAAUAGAGAUAGGUUGGGUAUCGAGGAGGAGAUUGAUACCAAAAUCAAUUUCCCUUUCGGGAGGGAUACCGGGAAGGUCAUCGGGGAACUCAUUGACUAUGGGAACCAACUCAAGAGGGGGACUUUUGGAGUCGACAUCCCUAACCCUCACAAUGUGGUAAAUACAACCCUUAGAAAUCAAUUUUUGGGCCUUAAGAUAAGAAAUAAACUUAUCCUUCACCACCGAAUCAUGACCCUCCCAUUCAAUAACGGACUCAUUUGGAAAUUGAAACUUGACUCAAUGAGUUCUGCAAUCUAUGGAAGCAUAAGAUGCAUGUAAUCAAUCCAUCCCAAGAAUGGCAUCGAAAUCUACCAUGUCAAGCUCAAUGAGAUCACAAGGAAUAACUUUAUGCAAGAUAGACACGGGACAACCCCUAUAGACCUUUCUAGCAAUAAACGAUUCACCCACGGGGGUAGACACCAAAUAAGGCUCUAAUAACAUUUCGGGUGACACAUCAAACCUAUUUGCUAAGAAUGGGGUAACAAAUGACAAGUUCGCACCGGGAUCCAACAAUGCAUAUACAUCAACUCUAACUGACGUGGAUCUGUUAGAGUUUAUUCAACAGUUGAUUUGCAGGUACAAAUUACUCAUGUUUAUAGAAGCUCGAUUUGUCGGGCGUAGAAAUGCUUAUCCUAGGCUGAAGUUUCAAUUUUAGGCAAGUGGUAUAAACAAAUACAAUAGUCAAGAGUGGAAGAAAAGAAGAAACUAUACCAAAAGGGACAUAUCUUAUGCUAACAAGUAACAUACAUCAGCUACAUCUUCUGUCAAGGAAGUGCACAAUGCAAUUAUUUGAACUUGAUAUUUGCAAAAACGUGGAAAAUAUACCGGAUUCAAUUGGUCGAUUCGAAUUGGAAUUGUCAAGUCAUCCAUAACUAUUUAGUCAAAACAAGAAUUCAUUUUGGUCGAACCGCCUAGGUUCGAAAGGACCAGGCGGCGAUGAAGUAUGAGUCUAAAACACUAUAUGCGGCAUCUGAUGGUCAGAUGCCGUAGGUUGGUAUAUCUUUGAAAGCUCAGACGGAGAGAAUAAACGGACUCCUCGAGGGCAAGGAGCGUCCGGAGUCUCUUAAGAAAGGACAAAGACUAAUUAAUAUCAUGUUUACACCGAUCGGGGUCCAUCUCAUCUGAAAACUUUUCCUCUUCCAUUAGCAUAGCUAAAUUUGAGUGAAAAUAGUCGUCACAGUCUGAGUUCCUGCUUUCAACGAGACUUUCUUAGCUUGUCAAACUUUCUUUCCUUCACCAGGAAAGUUAUCCGGUCUCUAUAAAACAGAAUGAAAAGCCCGGGUGGAAGCACAAACAAAAGGAGAGAGAAAAAGUGGUGUCGAACAAUGGUGCUUGCGUUGCGGGAGAUGCCCGUCCGCAGGGUCCGGCCUGCUUCCCGCCCAAAAGAAUUCCAAUAUGCUAGUUUCAACAACUCUCAUUCGUACACAUUUUCUCAACCAAAGAUCCUACUCCUCUUAGAAAGGCGAAUGAAUCAUUUUUCCUAUUUUUCAUUUUGUUUUAAGGCCCCAUCGACGAAAGAACAAAUCGGAGAAUGCCCAUGAAUAGGGUCUUAUUACAGAAUCCGCAGUUUGGCUAGGCAAAGAUUUGCCUCCGUGGAAAGGAUGAUUCAUUCGGAUCGACAUGAGAGUCCAACUACAUUGCCAUUUUUGAAUACAUUUGACUUGGUGCUCACUUGUAGGAAGAUUCCCCAGGCUCCGUUUAGAAAAAACCCAAUUGGAUUGGUAAGAUAUCUAUGAUUGCUAUUCAUAUUUUUUCUUUGUAAAGAGAUCCUAAUUGUCAAGCAAAGUUACAUUCAGAUCUGGAGGCAUACCUAAUUAACGAGCUUUUUCAAACUCUUUCUGAAAAAGUCGGUCCUGGGAGAGUUGCUUCUUUCUUUUUUCCCGAUUUUGUCUCAUUAGGAUCAAUUGCAUUAAGUACAAAUUUUACAAAUUUCAUUCUUUUUUCUGAAUUCGUGCGAACAUACUAACUCUUUGACGGAGCUCAAAUGGUCUCCGCCGCUGCAGGUCCUUUAUUUAGGAAUGCUAAAUUCUUCACGACUAAUGAUAUUAAUGUUAUAUACAAUAGUAUUGUCUUUCAUUUAUCAAUCUCUCAAUAAAAUGUAACAUCUACAUAUUUCAAUCUGUUGGAUAUAAAUGAAAAAGAACGUUGAAAGGCACAAAAUUGGUGCAUGUAGUGUA